RNAcentral lists this long non-coding RNA (2074 nucleotides) under Nicotiana tabacum (common tobacco). RNAcentral's name for it is "long non-coding RNA (NTAB_LNC007963)". The record is from RNAcentral. Lineage: Eukaryota; Viridiplantae; Streptophyta; Magnoliopsida; Solanales; Solanaceae.
AAUCAUUUAAAAACAAUUUAAUAAGAAAUAAAGCUAUAGAAAUUCAAAAUAGACAUAAUAACUCCAAAUGCUGACUAGUCAAAUCCCGAAAUCUUGUGUCACAAGUACAUGAGCAUACUAGAAGUACUACAACCAAAUAAAAAUACAGCUAUUUGAAGCAAAAUAAACAGUAAAACAAGAUAAGGAAGAAAACUUCAGGGACUGCGAUCGCCGUGCAACUCUACCUCAAGUCUCGAAAUGAAGACAUAAUCCGAGCAAAACUCCGCUAGACGCUGCUGGGACCAACUCCGAAAUCUGCACAAGAAGUGUAGCUCACUACAAAAAAAUGUGUUAUUGUGACGGUUUAUUUUACGUUUAGCAGCGGUUUCAAUAUGCUCUAACGGUGUUUUUUGAAAUCGCUAAAAUUCCGUGCGCCACAAACGUAAAACAACGGUUUUGGCUUAACCGCAUUGUAGCGAUUUUUGUUUUGCAUUAUCCGCGGUUGGAAACCGCCGUAACAUGAAAAGAUGCCAUUCAAAAUCAUUUUUAGCCACACUAUAUUUUGCAUAAUAUUGCUGUAAUUGUUCUACUAACAUACAGGUUUCCAGCUUUAUUCUUACACUAGUAAAUUAAUCCGUGUUUUGCGCGGUUGUUAAAAUAAAUUAAAUUUCAAUAUAUGAUCUCAUUGUAGAUUUAUUCGGAUAGAAUAAAUGAAUUUUUCAUGUGUACUUAUUUCUUUAUAAAUAUAUUUUUUCUAAUUAGCUCCAAAAUAUUCCAUAUCAUCAAUUCCAAAGCUAAUUUUGUUAUCCUAAAAAAAUAAUUAAUGUUUGAUAGUUGAUUUUGAACUUCACUAAUUAUGAAAACCAAACAUUUAGACUUGAAAAUAUGUCAAUAAAAACCCACCCACCACUAAGCUUUCUUUGAUUAUAAAAAAGAAAUAACUAAUAUUAAUUUCAUUAAACCUUUAAAUAGAAAAUUGGCAUUCAUCAUGUUAAGGGCGAUUGCUAAUGCAUAGAUUGCCCCGAUUAAUUUCUUAACAUGAGAAAUCUUUUAUGCUCGUAUAGGUGUUAGUGAUUAGUAAUACAUCCCUUCUUAAACCUAUUGUUGCUUUCAAAAUUCAUUUUAUUGUCCUUUCUCCCUUUUCACAAAAAUAUUAUUAGUUUACACACUCUUUAAUUUUUUGUAAUUGAUUCUUAACCUUUUAUUACAAUUAGGUAUAAGAUGAUUUGGAACUAUUUAAUUCAACUGAUAGAAAGAAAAUACAAUAUCAUUCGAUUAAAUGAUUCACAAAAUGCAUAGUUGUUUCCCUUGAAAAACAAUUCUACUUUUCGUAACAAUGCUAGAAGUGACUUUCCAAUUCCAUUGAUCAAAUCAAAGACUUGAUUCCUAAUUAACAGGAGAAAAGAAUCACAUUAAGAAAAUAUAAGUGAACCUCGAAGAUCAAAUUAAUUGAAAAGUUUUGCCAAGAUAAUAUAAACUUAUGAAUAUACAAGAAAUAGAACUGCUGCAUAAUGUUUUAAGAUUUCCAAAUCCAUCCGGACAUCAUCUUAACUCCUCAUUCAUGACAAAUAACAUAGAUAAUUUUGAUUUUAGACCAUAAAUUUUAUGUCUUCUAAUCUAACAUGUGUUUUUGCUCCCCAAGACCAAAGUAAGCUGCUAAAGUUUUGCUAUCUAAGAACAAAAAUAAUUUAAAAAGUAAUAGUCGAAAUUAAACUAUAGGCGAAACCGUAGAAGUCAUUUGUAAAAAGGGCACAAAAUUAUAUUAAGUCAGCAUGCUAUUAUGAUUGUGCAUACCUGCAUAAUUUUUAGCUCUUGCCGAGUUUCUCUAUCAAAACACCUAAGGGAUCAAUAAUUCCAAUAGGCACAAUUGCCAAAUUUUUCAAUCACGUAUGGAGAAGCUAAACUGCAAAACCUAGCAAAAUAAGAACAAAAAUAAAGUAAGUCAAAAAAGAAUCCACAUGCAAGAGUAAAUCUUCAUGUAUUUACCAGUUGAUUCAACAGGGCUUUGUGAUUUUACAACUUUGCAGACAAAUAUGCCAUGGAAGAUAGUGCUCAUGAAAUUGUGGCUAUGAGACUUAUAUUACGUUGUAUAAGC